This 549-nucleotide ribosomal RNA is filed under the name soil bacterium LB-P1-1. Its description in RNAcentral is "bacterial SSU rRNA". It matches the Rfam family "Bacterial small subunit ribosomal RNA", at positions 355 to 895 of the family's 1533-position model. The record is from RNAcentral.
UAGGGAAUCUUCCGCAAUGGGCGAAAGCCUGACGGAGCAACGCCGCGUGAGUGAUGAAGGUCUUCGGAUCGUAAAACUCUGUUAUUAGGGAAGAACAAAUGUGUAAGUAACUGUGCACGUCUUGACGGUACCUAAUCAGAAAGCCACGGCUAACUACGUGCCAGCAGCCGCGGUAAUACGUAGGUGGCAAGCGUUAUCCGGAAUUAUUGGGCGUAAAGCGCGCGUAGGCGGUUUCUUAAGUCUGAUGUGAAAGCCCACGGCUCAACCGUGGAGGGUCAUUGGAAACUGGGAAACUUGAGUGCAGAAGAGGAAAGUGGAAUUCCAUGUGUAGCGGUGAAAUGCGCAGAGAUAUGGAGGAACACCAGUGGCGAAGGCGACUUUCUGGUCUGUAACUGACGCUGAUGUGCGAAAGCGUGGGGAUCAAACAGGAUUAGAUACCCUGGUAGUCCACGCCGUAAACGAUGAGUGCUAAGUGUUAGGGGGUUUCCGCCCCUUAGUGCUGCAGCUAACGCAUUAAGCACUCCGCCUGGGGAGUACGACCGCAAGGUG